GUAAGCUACUAAGAGCGAAUGGUGGAUGCCUUGACUGGUAAAGGCGAUGAAGGACGUACUAGACUGCGAUAAGCUACGGGGAGCUGUCAAGAAGCUUUGAUCCGUAGAUUUCCGAAUGGGGCAACCCAAUGUAUAGAGAUAUACAUUACCUAUAUAGGAGCGAACGAGGGGAAUUGAAACAUCUUAGUACCCUCAGGAAAAGAAAUCAAUAGAGAUUGCGUCAGUAGCGGCGAGCGAAAGCGCAAGAGGGCAAACCCAGUGCUUGCACUGGGGGUUGUAGGACUGCAAUGUGCAAGAGGUAAGUUUAGCAGAACAUUCUGGAAAGUAUAACCAUAGAGGGUGAUAGUCCCGUAUGCGAAAAACAAACCUUAGCUAGCAGUAUCCUGAGUAGGGCGGGACACGAGGAAUCCUGUCUGAAUCCGGGUCGACCACGAUCCAACCCUAAAUACUAAUACCAGAUCGAUAGUGCACAAGUACCGUGAGGGAAAGGUGAAAAGAACUGAGGUGAUCAGAGUGAAAUAGAACCUGAAACCAUUUGCUUACAAUCAUUCAGAGCCCUAUGUAGCAAUACAGGGUGAUGGACUGCCUUUUGCAUAAUGAGCCUGCGAGUUGUGGUGUCUGGCAAGGUUAAGCAAACGCGAAGCCGUAGCGAAAGCGAGUCUGAAUAGGGCGCUUAGUCAGAUGCUGCAGACCCGAAACGAAGUGAUCUAUCCAUGAGCAAGUUGAAGCUAGUGUAAGAACUAGUGGAGGACUGAACCCAUAGGCGUUGAAAAGCCCCGGGAUGACUUGUGGAUAGGGGUGAAAGGCCAAUCAAACUUCGUGAUAGCUGGUUCUCUCCGAAAUAUAUUUAGGUAUAGCGUUGUGUCGUAAUAUAAGGGGGUAGAGCACUGAAUGGGCUAGGGCAUACACCAAUGUACCAAACCCUAUCAAACUCCGAAUACCUUAUAUGUAAUCACAGCAGUCAGGCGGCGAGUGAUAAAAUCCGUCGUCAAGAGGGAAACAACCCAGACUACCAGCUAAGGUCCCUAAAUCUUACUUAAGUGGAAAACGAUGUGAAGUUACUUAAACAACCAGGAGGUUGGCUUAGAAGCAGCCAUCCUUUAAAGAAAGCGUAAUAGCUCACUGGUCUAGUGAUUUUGCGCGGAAAAUAUAACGGGGCUAAAGUAAGUACCGAAGCUGUAGACUUGCACACAACUUAGAUUAUUUAAGUUUAGAAUAUGAGAAACUAAGUUAUAUGUUUAGUUAUAUUUUUACUGAUUUUUAUAGAGUAAAGAUAGAAAUAAAACUUAGUAAAAUCAGUAAAAAUAUUCUUAGACUAAAGUUAAGUAGUUUAAGUUGUGUGCAAGUGGUAGGAGAGCGUUCUAUUUGCGUCGAAGGUAUACCGGUAAGGAGUGCUGGAGCGAAUAGAAGUGAGCAUGCAGGCAUGAGUAGCGAUAAUUAAUGUGAGAAUCAUUAACGCCGUAAACCCAAGGUUUCCUACGCGAUGCUCGUCAUCGUAGGGUUAGUCGGGUCCUAAGUCGAGUCCGAAAGGGGUAGACGAUGGCAAAUUGGUUAAUAUUCCAAUACCAACAUUAGUGUGCGAUGGAAGGACGCUUAGGGCUAAGGGGGCUAGCGGAUGGAAGUGCUAGUCUAAGGUCGUAGGAGGUUAUACAGGCAAAUCCGUAUAACAAUACUCCGAGAACUGAAAGGCUUUUUGAAGUCUUCGGAUGGAUAGAAGAACCCCUGAUGCCGUCGAGCCAAGAAAAGUUUCUAAGUUUAGCUAAUGUUGCCCGUACCGUAAACCGACACAGGUGGGUGGGAUGAGUAUUCUAAGGCGCGUGGAAGAACUCUCUUUAAGGAACUCUGCAAAAUAGCACCGUAUCUUCGGUAUAAGGUGUGGUUAGCUUUGUAUUAGGAUUUACUCCGAAAGCAAGGAAACUUACAACAAAGAGUCCCUCCCGACUGUUUACCAAAAACACAGCACUCUGCUAACUCGUAAGAGGAUGUAUAGGGUGUGACGCCUGCCCGGUGCUCGAAGGUUAAUUGAUGGGGUUAGCAUUAGCGAAGCUCUUGAUCGAAGCCCGAGUAAACGGCGGCCGUAACUAUAACGGUCCUAAGGUAGCGAAAUUCCUUGUCGGUUAAAUACCGACCUGCAUGAAUGGCGUAACGAGAUGGGAGCUGUCUCAAAGAGGAUCCAGUGAAAUUGUAGUGGAGGUGAAAAUUCCUCCUACCGCGGCAAGACGGAAAGACCCCGUGGACCUUUACUACAGCUUGACACUGCUACUUGGAUAAGAAUGUGCAGGAUAGGUGGGAGGCUUUGAGUAUAUGACGCCAGUUGUAUAUGAGCCAUUGUUGAGAUACCACUCUUUCUUAUUUGGUAGCUAACCAGCUUGAGUUAUCCUCAAGUGGGACAAUGUCUGGUGGGUAGUUUGACUGGGGCGGUCGCCUCCCAAAUAAUAACGGAGGCUUACAAAGGUUGGCUCAGAACGGUUGGAAAUCGUUCGUAGAGUAUAAAGGUAUAAGCCAGCUUAACUGCAAG
Molecule: ribosomal RNA, 2518 nt
Filed under: Campylobacter jejuni
Lineage: Bacteria; Pseudomonadati; Campylobacterota; Epsilonproteobacteria; Campylobacterales; Campylobacteraceae
Description: 23S ribosomal RNA
Rfam family: Bacterial large subunit ribosomal RNA
Source: RNAcentral